GGUUAAUAGGGUAGGUACGAUAGGAUAUCUUUUCUCAAAUCUCAGAGCUCUACGAUCACCCUCGUGCCUGUCAGAGUCGUGUGAUAAGUCCUCUUUUAGUACAUCAUAAGUUGUCAAAACGAUGCUGGCAUUGAGAAGUUCAUUUAUAUCUGGCAGGGGUGUUUGUGAUAAAGAGUUAUUCCUCACUCCUUGAUAAAUGCAUGUUUUCAUAGCACCAGGACUUGUAUGACGAACAAUUUCAGCAUGCCACUGAGGCAAUAUAGGAGCUGGACACACUAUAAGAGUUGCACCUGAGCCAACUGGUGCUACACAGGCUUGGAUCAGUUCUGAGCAUGGCUGGCAGAUAUAGCCGUCUUCCAUUUCAACUAUUUUAACACCGUUUUUG
RNAcentral lists this unclassified non-coding RNA (385 nucleotides) under Hevea brasiliensis (rubber tree). Lineage: Eukaryota; Viridiplantae; Streptophyta; Magnoliopsida; Malpighiales; Euphorbiaceae. The record is from RNAcentral.